UACGAAGGGAGCUAGCGUUACUCGGAAUCACUGGGCGUAAAGCGCAUGUAGGCGGAAUUAUAAGUCAGGGGUGAAAUCCCAAGGCUCAACCUUGGAAUUGCCUUUGAAACUGUAAUACUUGAGUAUGGUAGAGGAUAGUGGAAUUUCCAGUGUAGAGGUGAAAUUCGUAGAUAUUGGAAAGAACACCAGUGGCGAAGGCGGCUAUCUGGACCAUUACUGACGCUGAGAUGCGAAAGCGUGGGGAGCAAACGGG
RNAcentral lists this ribosomal RNA (253 nucleotides) under uncultured bacterium. RNAcentral's name for it is "partial 16S ribosomal RNA". It matches the Rfam family "Bacterial small subunit ribosomal RNA", at positions 524 to 776 of the family's 1533-position model. The record is from RNAcentral.